Molecule: non-coding RNA, 72 nt
Organism: Dipodomys ordii (Ord's kangaroo rat)
Lineage: Eukaryota; Metazoa; Chordata; Mammalia; Rodentia; Heteromyidae
Source: Rfam
GGGAAGGUGGCUCAGUGGUAGAGUGCUUGCCUUGCAUGCAUGAGUCCCUGGGUUCACUUCCUCAGCUUCACA